AGCUGAAGAGUUUCUGGCGAGUUCAAUUCCUGAUCAGAAGAUGAUCCGCUGGUUUGGAGGUUGCCCCUUUUAUAGUUGAAGAAAUCUCUCCUUUUAGGGUUUUGAAAUCCCUUUUUGGUUUGGCUUGUGAUUCCUCUUUUGAUGUUGAAUUUGAUUGCAACUGGAAUUCCUUAAGUGAGAAACUCUUUCGUGGCUCUUGGAAUUGAUUUGGUAGUGAUUGAGUUGGAUUUGGACUUCUGAAAACUUGAAAUUCGGUUUCCAGCUGUUUUCCCGCCUCUGCUGUCAAGUUCUGCUGUCAAGGUGAUUUGCCCAGUUUUCUGUGAGUGAUUUGGGCAAAUCACCGGGCAAAUCGCUCUCUGGGAUUCAGUCCAGUUUCUGUCUCUGUAGUUCUGCUGUCAAGGUGAUUUGCCCAGUUUUCUUCGAGUGAUUUGGGCAAAUCACUUUUGCUGUCAUUUUCUGCACUUUUUCUCCAACUCUUCAAUUUCUUCCUUUUCUAUAAAAACAUAACAAAAACACAAUUUAAGCUAGAAAAAUAUGUAAAUAAACAGUAAAUAAUAUAUUAAAAACAUGGCUAAAUUAUGCUUGAUCACCUGCGAAAUUCACGUUUCUGACAUCACCCUCAUCGUUUUCAUUGGUACUGCUGUUGGCCAUGAGGAACUUCUGAAAUUCUUGUUGCAAGUAAUCUGCCAUCCCUGUACUCAAAGAAUCAACACCUUUCUGCUGUGGUGUUACUGACGUCAAUGGUGAUUCCUUUGUUGCAACGCGAAGGACAUUAUUAGCUCUAUGGUAUUUGCCGAUGUCCACACCUCUCUUCUGUUGCAUCUCAAUAAACCAGUCUGGAUACCCAUGGAUAAGAAAGCAAUCAUCAAUAGUAUGUCCGGCAGUUUUACACUUGGAACAAAACUACUUCUUUCGAUCUUCCUUUCGUGAUGAGAAAGAAUUCCUGGCAUGCCCACUGCCUCGGCUACCUGAGGAUCCCCUUUGAGCAAGCAUAACCGCAGCUGUUUUAGAAGAGGCAGUACUAUCAGUUUGCACUUCUCGCUGUUUUUCAACGCUCAUUACCAUCGAAUAAGCUUUAUUUAUCAAAGGUAACGGAUCUUGAAGGAGUAUCUGAUUUUUCACGUUAUCAUAUUCAUCUCCUAACCCCAUCAAAAACUGCAUUAACCGCCGAUUAUUGUCGUAGUCUGUAAUUGCUGUCCCAACCUCACAACAAACAGGUAACGGAGCUAAGCAGAUUAAUUCAUCCCAUUUUCGCUUCAGGUUCGUGUAAUAAUUGGUAACAGAAUUGUUGCCUUGCCUGUAUCCUGUAAUAUCUCGUUCAAUUUUAUAAAUCAUCGGCCCAUUGCUUUCUCCAUAACGUUGUUCUAAUUCAUCCCAAAGGACUUUUGCAUUUUUACAGAAUACAAAAGCAUCAGAUAUGUCUUUAGAUAUGGCGUUUAACAACCAAGAAACCACCAUACUAUCUGCCGUCCACCAUUUAUCAUAAUCAUCUGAAUCUGGUGCUGGCGCUUUAAUUUUCCCGUUAAUGAAACCUAAUUUUUUCUUAGCCCGAAGAGCGACCUGAACAAAUUGACUCCAAGAGAGGUAAUUGUGUCCCUUCAAGGGGGUGUUAACAAGACUGAAUCCAGGUGCAUCAGAGUUGCUAACAUGAUACGGAUCAUCCGCAUUAUUCUUUGUAGUGAUAGCAGCGAGAAUCUUCGCUAAAUCAUCUGGAGUCAUCAUGUUGAGAAACUGAAUGCGAAUCAGUAUCUAAUAAUUUUGCAGAAGAAAAAAAACUCUAUUCUGGCUCUGAUACCAUCUUGAGGAUUUAAACAAACCAGCAAAAGUAAAAUAAGAGCAUAAUUGAAUAACAGAGCUGAAUGCCAGACUCCUCUUUUCUAUAUUAGACUACUACUGAUCUUAGAUAUUUAUCUACAAAAUAAAUAAAAAAUAGUUAUAACAGAACUAUCCUAAAGGAGUCCUACUCGCAAGGUUUGUUACAACAGAACUAUUCUAAAGGAGUCCUACUCAUAAGGAUUGUUACAAGGUUUGUUACAAGAGAUAUCCUUUACAGUCCUCUUCAGAUAAACAAUCUUUCUCCAUAUUGUUUAUUGCACAUAUUUCUUUUCUUACAAUCGUUGUUGUCGACUCACCUACAUUAGCUCAAAUUGUACCUCUAAAUUCUUUAUAACGGCUUGUUGAUUUUAGAGGUUAAUUCUAGUUUCUACCAUAAUGUUUCUGAUUUCUGCUAUGAAGUCUGCAGUGAUCUAAUAGAUUGAUGCAAUUAAUUUUUCUAGCCUUAAUUCCUUCUCUUCUUGAUGAUGAAAUGGUUGGUUUGAUUAUAUUGGAUGGUAAAUAGAUGGAGGAUAUUGAUGACUCUAACACUAUAGUGAAGGAUUCUUGAUGCUAAUGGUAGUCAAAAUCUACUUCUAUGUAUAAACAAACCGAAUCGAGUCGAGCCGAGCUUUGAAGAGCUCAAGUUUAUUCAUUAAAAUUUUUUUGAGCUCGAACUAAACUCGAACUUUACUCAUUUCGAAUUCGAGCCGAGUAUUAAUAAGUUUAAGUUUGGCUCGUUUAACAAACAAGCUUAGACGAGUCAGUUUAGUCUCGAAGAGUUCACAAACCAUUUAAUUUAUUUAUAUAUAUAAUGAGUUUUAAUUUAAAACUAAAAAAUGUUAGUUAAACAAUUAUAUAUACAAAUAAGCUCGUAAACUUAUAAAGAACAAGCUCUUAAAUUUUAACGAUCUUAAUAUCUAUAAGUUUAAAAGUGUAAUUAAAUUAUGUAGAGCUGAAUUUUGGAAAAUUUAAGUUUGGCUCAUAAAAGUAUAUGUAGAAUUUGAAUUUAUUUCUCUUAUAAUAUUAAUUUCAGCAUAUUUAAUAAGACUGUUCGCGAGCCUACUCAUGAAAUUGGAAAUAAGCUAGAGCUUAUAAACCUUAAUGAACCGAACAUUAUGGAGUUCAAGUUUGGCUCGUUUACUAAAUAAGCCCAAAAAUUAAAGUCGAUCUUGGCUUAUUUAAAAAUUGAGUCGAGCUUGAUCGAGUUUUUAUCGAGUCGAACCUCGAGUAGCUCGUAAAUAGUUUGGUUCAUUUAUAUCACUAUCCACCAGCGGCCGAAACCCCAUCAUCAUUAAUCAACAUAAAGUAAAAUGUAAGAGAUUCAUGGGGAAGAUCAUCAUUAAAAAAUUAUACAACCAAUUCAUUGAAUCUAUCCCAAGUAGCAUAAAAUAGUUCCAAGUAUUAUUGAAUAAAAUUCAUGAAAGACACAUUAAUGAGACAUAAAUAUCUCAUAAUAAGAUAAGCAUUUAGAUAUCCACAAGUGUAUGAAAUCGUCUCAAGUAAUAAUGAAGGAGUAUCAUAUCAUAUCCAUAUGUACUGAAAAUUAAGUAUCAAAAUAUUCAUAAAUCUGAUUAUUAUCUAAACUACCGAUAAGAAAGAUUGAAAUAAAAUAAAAUAAUAAAAUCAAUUAUUUUAACAAAGUAGAAUUUAUGAAACAAUUAAUAUUAAGUACUAAGUUAUAUUGAUUUCACUUGGACAUGACCCAUUUAAUUCAUUUGGUUACAAAUCUAAUUUUAAUUACCAAAUCUAGAAUAUCUUCUAAAAUUAAAUUAAUUAAUUAAAUAUUAUUAUCUAUCUCUCAAUAAUCUAAUAAGUGAUUAUUUUGUCAAAAGACUUCAUGGAUCAAAUCUUCAUUCUCAAUUUAAUUAAUAUUCUUGUGAUAUUCAAUUUCGAUCCUAAAACAUUCCCUCGCAGUAUUAAUCUCAAGAUAAAAUCAUUCAAGCAUCUCAUAAAUACUCAAAAACAUUAAUUUCAAGAAUUGAAUUGGUAAAGAAAAUCAACUCAAAUAAAUUAAAGAGAAUCAAUCAUCCAAGUUACAUCAAGUCCCCUGCCAAAAGAAUUUAGUUGCUUAUGUUCAAAAAUUCAAGAAUAAAUUCUAUUGAGAAAUUAUCUAAAUUCAUUCUAAACAAAUUGUGAACAAACAAAUCAAAAUAAUAAGAGAAAAAAGAAAACUCUAAAUGUAUUGAUAUUUUCUCCUAGAUUUUCUAAAUCUUUAUCAUCUAGUUUCUCGCGAUUUCCGCAAUAUAUCGUAUUUAAAAGUGGGCAAAAGUUCUUUGGUCUCUCAAUACCUUUUAAGACUCAUAAUCCGUAGUUAUAAGGAAAACUUAGAGUAUUAGGACUUCUGUUAAAAAUAUGGGGCGGUGCACGUGGAAAAGAGCAAACACAUGAUAAACUAUAAAAAUACGGAUCUACCCGUGUGUUGUACCGUGUGAUUCGGCUCCAGAUUUUUAUCCAGAGAGAAACACUUGGUAAAAUGUCAAAACAUGAGGCUACCCCAUAAUUUUGUUUGUUUCUUCAUAAUCUCCUCAAAUUUUCUUAGAUUUCUCAUCAAAGUGUCAGCCUCAUUCUUUGACUUUGUUUUGAUAUGUAAAAACACUACAAAUUAAAUGAAAAUAUCAAACUAAUGAAAAUUUAUGAAAAUAGGUAAAUGUUGUUCCAAAAUUAUAUGUUUAAAUAUGUAAAAUUUCACCAUAUCAACCACAAAUUUAAAAAUAUGAGAUCUAGUUCUAACAAUUAAUAUUUCAUUAAUCUUAAACUAGUUGACAGACAUUUAAUAACUAGCUCUAAUUUUUAGAUAAUAAAUUUAAAAAUUUUUAAUAGUGUACUUAUUUUUUAAUAUAGAAAUUAAUUUUUAAUAUAGAAAGAAGAAAAAAAAAAUUGCACUCUAUUAAUGAUGAUCAUAAUUUAAAGUUUAUUUAAUUUUAAAACAAAUUAUUUUAAUUCAAAUUCAUUACUAUCCUCGGUGAAGUUAUAAUUUUAUUUUAAAUAAAACUCUACUUAAAUUAAUUAUUAUUUAAAAUAAAUUUCAAAGUUUAUUUAAAUUUAUUUAGGUUUUUGAGUAUAAAUAGAAAAAAAAUUAUAUAAUCAAUUCUAAUAAUAAUUAAUACUCAUUAUAUAUAUAUAUAUAUAUAUAUAUAUAUAACUCAUAAUUCUAGAUGGGUAAGAAAUAUAAAAGUUUAGAUUUAGUAUUAGGGUUUCUUCUGGAUAUUGUAAAAAUAUACAUGUUUGAAAAACUAAAACAAAGGCAUUUGCCGAUGAGAAAUUAGUUGUAUUCGGUUCAAAUUAAAAAAAAUUGAUCAAAUUGAAUUAAUUUAAAAAUUCGGUUUGAUUUUUUAUUUAUUUCGAUUCGAUUUUUAAUUUUAAAAAUUUUGAUUAUUUCAGUUCGGUUUGAUUUUAAUAAAAAAAAUUGAAAAAAUCGAAUCGAAUCGAUUAGUGAUAAUAAUAUAUAGAGAUUAGAUCAUAUUAAGGUUAAAAUAUUCUCAUUAAAGUUUAAAAUACUAAAAAUAAAGUAUAAAAAAUAAAAAAAUUAUUAAAAAUUCAAAACGAUUAAACUGAAUCGAAUUGAAUUGAAUUGAAUCAGACCAAUUCAGUUGGAUUCGAUUUUGAUCAAAAUCAAUUUGGUUUGAUUUUUAUAAAUACUAAAAUUUAAUUUUUCAAUUUAUUCAGUUUGAUUUAAUUUAAACCUGAAAUUUUAAAUUUAUUCAGCUCGAUUUAAUUUAAACUGAACCAACCAAAUACUCACCCUACUAUUUACUCUCUCCGAAGAAACAAAUACAAAAAAAAAAUAUUAAUCACCACUAGGGGUGAGCAUUCGGUCGGUUCGGUUCAAAAUCAAAUCGAACUAAAUAAACCAAAAAUUGAAAUUUUAGUGUUUAUGAAAACCGAACCGAUUUGGGUCAGAAACCGAAUCGAACCGGUCUGAUUCGGUUCGAUUCGUUUCGGUUUGAUCGGUUUCGAUUUUUAAUAAUUUUUUUAUUUUUUACCCUUUAUUUUUAGUAUCUUAAAUUUAAUUAAAAUAUUUUAAUCUUAAUAUAAUUUAAUUUUUCUAUAUUAUUAAAAAAACAUAUUAUUAUCACUAAUCGGUUCGGUUUGAUUUUUUCGAUUUUAUUUUUGUCAAAACCGAACUGAACUAAAAUAACCAAAAUUUUUGAAAUUAAAAAUUGAACCGAACUGAAAUAUAUAAAAAAUAAAACCAAAUUUUUAAUUUAAUUCGAUUCGAUCGAUUUUUUCGAUUUGAACCGAAUACUGCAGACCCUUAAUCAUCACUAAUCAUCUCCACAUAUUUUUAUGUAAUUAGUUUACUAUACAUAACUCACAAUCCAAUUAUAAUAAAAAGUAUUUAAUAUAAAACUGUCAUAAAAAUAUUAUAAACCGUUUAAAUUAAUUUAAAUAAUUUUUAAUUUUCUCUUCAUUAAAUCUAAAAUAAUUAAUUUAAAUUACUUAAUAGUUUUUAAUCCGCUAUUAUAUAUAAUUCAAAUUUAAUAAAUUUUCAAGGUGGGAUGUGAUAAAAAAAAUAUUUAAUAUAAAAUUGGUGAAUAUCUUGAUAUAAAUUGGCAUUAAGGAAUUUAAUAGUUAAGGAUUCAAUAUUAAUUCCAUUUCAAAAAAAAAUUCAAUAUUAAUUAAAAUUAAAUAAUUAAUUAAUAAAUUUUUUUAUAUAAUAAAAAUUAAAUAUCAAUUUACAUACAAAUUCUACGCAAAUCAUUUUCUUUAUCUUUUAAUAUAAUUGGAGUGCUUCUAUUUUUUAUAAAUUAUAUUCAAUUACACUGCAAUUUUAUUUGAGCCACAUCAUCGAUUUAUUAUUUAUGACAUCAAAUAAUAUAUUUUAUUAUAUGAUAUUAAAUAAUAAUUAAACUACAUUUUAUAAAAUCUAUAUUUAUUAUGGAGUUUUUAUUGAUAAAAAUUUUAUAAUUUAAUAUCUUGUUUUUAAUUAAUUAUCGCUGCUCCUUUCAAAUAAAUUUUUGUGGCUUUACCCAUGAGUCAACGAAUAAAAGAUUAAAUUUAUUUUUGAUGAGAUAAAAAUAAAUAAAUAGCUUUUUUAUUAAAUUUAUUAUUAAUUAUCAUUAAAAAUUAAAAAAAUUUAAAUAAAAUCAAAUAAACUAAUGAAAAAUAUUUUGAUUUUUUUUUUGUCAUUAUAAUGUGAUCAAUAUUUUGAUUUUUUUUUAAAGGCUUAUGCCAGAUAAAAUGCUAAAGCCUUUAGUUUGAUUAUAAUUAUAGCUAUAAUUCUUAAUUUGAGAUGGUAAAAUCUUAACUUUUUAAAUUUAUUAUAAUUAUAAUUAAUUUUUAAAUUAAUUUAUUCAAUUAAAUAUAUAAGUGUAAGAUUUCAAUUAUAGUCAAAUAUUAAAAUUAAAUAUUUUUUUUUAAUUAUAGUUAAUCCUUAAAAUAAUUUUGAUCAACAUUAAUUUAAUCAAAGAAUCAUACAAUGUAUCACUUAUAUACUAUUUUUAAAAAUACUUUACUCUUAUUUUUAUUUUUCUAAUUCCUAAUUUAAAUUCUAAAAUUUCUAAUUAAUUAAAACUAACUAGACUGAAAUUCAUUCAAAAUAGAUAUUUUAAAUUUAAAUUAAGAAUUAAAAUAAUAAGGAUAACUAUAGUAUGACACAAGGUAAUUUAAAUUUUAUCAAAAUUAUUUUAAGAGUGGGUUACAAUUGUAAAUAAAUUAAAAAAAUUAAAUAUAAUAUUAAAAAUUUUGACUAUAAUCUAAUUAAAUGUAAAAUUUUAAAAAUUUAUAUCAAAUUAGACAAAUUAUUGUAGUAAUUAAUUAUAAUUAUAAUAAAUUUUAAAGUUGAGAUUUUACUAUUUAAAAUUAAAAUUUUAUCUACAUUCGUGGUUAAAUAUAAAAAUUUCACUUUCUACAUCCAAUAAAUCUUUUUUAGAUUAUUAAAUUAAAUCUUUUUUAAAUUAUUAAAUUUUGAAUUAGAAUCUUAAUUAAGACUUAAGCUUCUAUUCAAAAUACUAAUUGUUUGGUGAUGGAUAACUAUUUUAAUAAAAAUUAAUUAGUUUUUUAAAAAAUAAAUAACUUUUUAUAAUAUUCCCCUUUAAUCUUUAAAUACUAAUAUUUUAACAUACUCAAAAUCAAUAAAUAUUAUCUUAAAAGAUAAACUUGAAUUGAGUCAAAAGUUUAUAUAAAUUAUAAUAAAUUUUAAUUUUUCCUGUGAUUGAUUAAAUUUUUUUUAUUAAUCCCUAAUAAUCUAUAACAAUAUUUAUUAUAAAUUAAAAUUGAAACAUCAAAAUCAAUUGAACACAAAAAUUUAAUUAAAAAUUAUUUUCAAUUUUUUCAAAAAUUAAAAUUGAUUGGUAGCUAUUUUUAAAAUUAAAUAAAAUUUAAUCUAAUAAUUGUCUAUUACAUAGUCUCAAAUUAAUUUUCUUCCAAUCUGAAUUUGAAAACUAAUAUAUGUAUACACACACAAAACCAGUAAUCUCAUUCUUAUGUGCAUAAGUAUAUUAUAGAUUUUUUUAUAAUUUUUAAUUAGUAAAAAAUUCUAAUACUUAAAUAUUUGAGUCAGUAAAAGAUUUAAAGAUAUAUUUAGUAAAAAUAAAAACAAAUACAUUACGAAAUUAGAUCUAUAUAUUUGAAAGUUGCUCGUAUAUAUAACGUAUCGGAAAUUUUAUCGUAAUAAGAUUUAGUGUAUGUUAUUAAAUUUUAAUGAAUAAUAAUUUAUUCGUGAACUCUUAUUUAAAAUUAUAGUCUGAAAUGGGCUAUGGAAUAGCGCUAUUGGUCUCAAAUUCAAGUUUAAUCUUUUUAAUGGGUCUUGAAUCAGUAUCAAAGACUUUUAGGGCUAAUGAGUAGGGGUGAGCAAUCACAAAAUCAAACCAAAAGCUGAAAAUUUAAUAUUUAUAAAAAUCGAACUGAAUCAAUUUUGAUAAAAAAUUGAAUUGAAUUGAAUCAUUUUAAUUUGAUUUGAUUUGAUUUAAUUUGAUCGAUUUGAAUUUUUAAUAAUUUAUAUUUUUUACACUUUACUUUACUUUAGUAUUUCAAAAUUUAAUUGGAAUAUUAUAACUUUAACAUAAUCUAAUCUUUCUGUAUUAUUGAAAAUAAUACAUUAUUAUCACUAAUCGAUUCGGUUGGAUUCUUUCAAUUUUUUAUGAUCAAAAUUAAAUUGAAUCGAAAUAACUGAAAUUUUUGAAAUUAAAAAUCAAAGCAAACCGAAUCAAAAUGAAUAAAAAACCAAACUGAAUUUUUAAAUUAAUACGAUUUAAUUGAUUUUUUCGAUUUUAACUGAAUAUUGCUCACUCGUACUAAUGAUACUAAUGAUACUGAUAUAAAACUCAUUAAUGAGAAUAAAUCUAAAUAUGGGAGCUCGAUAGAAAGCGGAUCUCGUAGUCAUCUAUUUUUUCACUAAAUACACUUUAAAACCUUUAUUGAUUUAAAUAUCGAAAAUUUUGAACCCCAAACUAUUUGAUGUUCUUGUGUUUUGCAAAUAAGUGGCUAAUGAUGAAUACCCCAGCAUUCAUAUUUAUUGUUAUAAUUUUAAUUUUAUAUUUAUUUCAACAUUAAUAAUCAUAUUAAUUAAUUAAUGUAUGCAAAUAUAUAAAAUUAUUAAUAUACAUAUUUAUUACGAUUAAAAUUUAUAUUUUAUUAAUAAAUUAUGUUAAUAAUAAUUUUUAUGAGUUAAAAUAAGCAACUUAAUUGUAAAAGCUUAAACUGAUACCGAAAUACAAGAUGAUUACAACAUAAUCAAAAUAUUUAAUUAGAAUAAAAAAAUAUAGAUAAAUUUUUAUUUUUUAGUCACUUAAUUUUUUUAAAAGAUGCAAUAAAAACUUUAACUGAAUAUAUUAAAACAGAUUUAGAUAAUAUACUAUUGAAUUUGGGUGAGUUCAAAUAUUGAUAAUAUAUUAGAAUUCGGUCUGAUAUUAUUUGAUUUCAAUAAAUAGUUAAUAAAAAAUUAGAAGAAAUUUACUGAUUAAUUUUUUAAUUUUUAAAAAUAUAUUAAAAUAUCUUCAACAUUUUAAAAAAUCUACUAAUUAGUUUAUUCGUUAAUUUUAGCUAUUAAAUAUUAUAAAAAAGAUUAAAAUAUCUUUGAUAUAGAGAAAUUAAUUAAUAGAAUUUUUAAAAAUUUGAAAAAUUAACUAAUAAAUUUUUUAAAAUUAUAAGAAUUAAAUAGUAAAAUACUUAACGAUCAACAUUAAUGGAUAAACUAAAUAGUAAAUUUUUUAAAAUAUCUGAAAUGUUUUAAUAUAUUUUUCAAAUUGAAUAACUAAUUAAUGUGUUUUUUUAUAUUAUAAAGACUAAGUAAAUAAUUUUUUAUAUUUAAUUAAGUAUAACAAUAUAUUUUUAUGAAAUAUUUAUAAAUUUUUUAUAUAUUUUAAUUUAAAAAUAAUAUGACUAUUAAAAUUUUUAAAAUAAAAAUAAUUUUUGUAUAAAUUUUUAAUUAAAAUUAAAAAAUUAAAAAAUACUUAAAUAAUAAUAAUAAUAAUUUAAUUUAAUUCAAAUUCAAUUUUAAUUGAGUUUGAAAUGUAAUUGAGCAGAUUCGGAUUUGAAUGAAAUGAAUUUCGUAGGUACCCAAAUCAUUGUCCUUCCUAAUUCGGAUUAAAAUAACAUGAUUAAAAAAGUGAAAUUUAAUAAAUUUUAUAAAUCUUAAAAACAUUCGAAUUAAAAAAAUAAUAUAAAAUAUUAAAAUGUUUAAAUUAAAGAUUAUUAAUAAAAAAUAAAAUUUUAUGUAGAUUGUUAAUUAAAAAUUAAAAAAGUUGGGGUAUUAUUCAAAUAGUAACUUUAUAUGGGAUUUAAAUCAAUUUUAAUCAAAUUUAUGAUGUAUUUAAUUAUUAAAAAUAAAUCUAUUAGUUCAAAAAAUAUUUUAACUUUACGAGUUUACGUUUAUGACAUAAACUUUUAAUUUUAAAUGGAAGUGCUUCAAAUUUUAAAUUUAUUAUAAUUAUAAUAAUUUUUUAAAUUAAUUUUAACCAUAUUUAAAUUAGUUUAUAUCACGUGUAAGUAUUUUUAUUAUAUAAAUAAUUUAAAUUAAAUUUUAAAAUUUUAAUUAUUUAAAAUUUUCAAUUAAUUUUUUUUUUAAAUAUCAGUACUGCAAUUAUAUAAUUUAAAAAUAUCAUAUAAUUAAUAAUUUAAGAUCUUAAUUAAAAUUUAAUUUCAAUUAAUCAAUCGCUUAUAUAAUAAAAAUAAUAAUAAUAUAUAGUAUAUUGUGUAUGAUAAAAAUAAUAAUAAUAUAUAGUAUAUUAUGUAUUUUAAUUUUAAUAUGAUUAAAAUUAAUAAAAUGACUAUAAUUAUAAUAAAUUUAAAAGUUAAAAUUUUUUAAUUUAAAAUUUAAAUUUAAAUUAUAAAUAUGAAAAAUUAUUAUUUUUUCAGAUAAUAGGCCUUAAAAAUAAUAAAUAGAUUCAGAUUUUUUUUGCCCAGUCAUGUGGGAUGAAGUUCAUAGUCGUUCCUAAUAUGGGGGAUAUUAAUGGCAUCCAUGAACUGUAUUUUCCUAAUAUGGCGGACAUUAAAGGUUUAUACAUUUAAUUGCAUUUUUUUCCAUCAAUAUGUUGUGGUGAAACGUGGACAGUAGAAACACAUCUCAACUUCUCAACCAAACAUUUCCAAAUUGAUUUAUUACAUCCCUAUCCAUAUUACCACAAUCAUGCAACUCCAUAUACCCUAUUUAAUUAUUUAUUUUUCAUAUUAAAUAUAUACAAUAAAAUAUAAUAAUUAAACAGAGAAAGAAAAUGUAUGAAGAAUGCAUUUUUAUAUAAACAUAAUUAAUAAUAUCUAUGAUAUUUCACUUAAUUCUAAUCAUAUACUUAAAUUUAAUGGCUAAACCUAUCGAGAACUACAAAUUGCUUAAAUUAAAACUAUCGUAUGUUUGGUAACAUUUUAGUUAUUCGGUUUUUAAGGAGCUCGCUUUUAUAUCCAUAAGUCAUACAUUAUUUGAUAGAGUGAAAAGCAAUAAAAAAAAAAAAGAGUCGAGACACGAAAGUGAUAAUAUUAUUUUGCAAGAACUUUCUCAAAGAACACAGAAAGGUUUUAGGAAUAAUUUUCCGUCUAGCUCAAACUAGUUAAAACAACAAAGCUUUACAGAUAAAAAGAAAAGAUAAGAAAAACCUACUUUUACUAUGGUUGAUACAUUUUUUUUAUGAAUACCCUAAUCCUGAUCCGUAAUCAUUUCUUAGUGAUUGAUUCUAAGAAUUCCGCUAACCGUGUAAUCUCCAUUUUUGUCUCAUUUCCCAGUUGUCCUAAUUCUUCUGUCUUCUCAGGUCUCGGCCCAAGCUUGCUAGUCCAUUGCUAACAUUGCCUCCUUCCCAAUUAAGAGUAUUGUCCACAAUGCUAAAAUAAGGAAAUUGGUUGAUGAAAUCUAUGUAAUCCAUCCAUGUAGCCUCAUCCUCUGGUUUUCCUUCCCACCUAAUUAAUAGUUUGCUGCCUGAAGGGUGGUUCAGAGUCAUCACUCUUUCUAGGAUUUGCUUAGGCUCAAAUCAUUUUUCUUUUACUUCCAGCCCUUUAAGUAAUGUCGAAGUAAUCAAAUGCUGCCCUACGACCUUUUUCAGUUGUGAUAAAUGGAAUACAGGGCGAAUUCUUGCUUCUUCUAGUAAUUUAAGACGAUAAGCAACCUUUCCUACCUUCUGAAUGAGCUGGAAUGGUCCGUAAUAGUGGGCUGCCAACUUGGCAUGAAUUGUAGGCUUAAGAAAAGCUUGCCUAUGAGGUUGUAUUUUGAGAAACACCGAGUCCUCCACAUGAAACUCGACAUCCCUCCGAUGUUUAUUGGUUGCUUUAGUCAUUCUUUAUUGGGAUAUCUUUAAAUUAUAGGAUAGUUGUCUCAACAAUUCAUCUCGAGUGAUCAACUCCUGAACUACUACUUCUGUCUUUGUUUCUCUGGGUAAAAAUUGGUGCAAUGUUGGAGGGGGUCUACCAUACACUGCCUCGAAAGGAGUUAUUCCCGCAGUUGCGUGGUGGCCUAAAUUAUACUAAAACUGUGUCCAGUAGAUCCACUUUUGCCAUUGUCGAGGCUGUUCUGAUGCGAAGCAUCUUAAAUAAGUUUCAAGCCCUCUGUUUAAGACUUUUGUCUGACCGUCGAUUUUCGGAUGAUAUGUUGAACUCAUCUUUAACUGUAUUCCCUGAAGUCGAAAUAACUCUGACCAAAAAGAGCUUAUGAAAAUUGGAUCUUUGUAGCUGACAAUUGUAUGAGGCAUCCCAUGUAAUUUUACGAUCUCCUUAACGAAUACUUCAACUACUGAUUUAGCUGAAUAGGGGUGUCACAGGCAGCAAAAAUGGGCGUAUUUAGUGAAGCGAUCAACAACUACCAAAAUAGCAUCCAUACCAUUUGAACAAGGUAGCCCUAUGAUGAAAUCCAGAGAUAUGUCCUCCCACACCCUUGUAGGAAUCGGUAGGGGAUGCAAUAAGCCUACUAGCGAGGCUGCCUCAUACUUGUGUUUUUGGCAAAUCAAGCAUUCUACCACAAAAGCUUUUAAUUUUUUUCAUCAUUCUUAGCCAAAAUAGGUUGGCAGCUGAUCAAGCAUAAUUUAGCCACAUUUUUACUAUUUUUAUUACUAUUUAAUUAUAUAUUUUUCUAGUUUAAUUAGUGUUUUUAUAAUGUUUUUACAGAAAAGGAGAAAAUUGAAAACUUGGAGAAAAAUUGCAGAAAAAGCUGAAAAAUUGAUUGGGUCAAAGUGAUUUGACCAAAUUACUCGUAGAAAGCUGAAGCAGAAAUCUGGGACUGACUUGUAGAAAUGAUCUGGGCAAGCGAUUUGGGCAAAUCAACUGCCCAAAUCAAACUGACGCAGACAAGGACAGCAGCGCGGGAAAAAGGAAAAAUCAGAAUUUCAAAAGUGUUGGAGUCCUAUCCUACUUCAAACACUACAAGACCAAUCCUAUGACAUCUCCAAGAGUCACUCCCAAGAAAGACUUUCUCCAAGAAGAAGAUUUAUUAAUGAUUAAAUACAAAAGCAAAGAAGGAAUAAAAGACUACAAAAGACCAAGUCAAAUUAGGAUUCCAAAUCCUAAUUGGACUAGAACUCUUCACCUAUAAAAGGAGACAGCCACAAACUAUCAAGGGAGAGUCGAAUUUCCUGCAGAACCUCAGCAGCAACACAUCAGCCUCCUUUCUACCUUUCUUCUUUCUCUUUUUUUGUAUUUUUGUCCACCAUGAGUGGCUAAACACCUCCUUUUCUAGUUGAAGUUGGGAAAUUUCAGUUUUGUGAUGAAUUGGAAGAUUUAAAACUCCAUUGUUAAGCUUCUAUUUUUCAAUAUUUAUGCAACUUGUUCUUUAUGCUAUUAUUGCUUUGCUAUUAGAAUCAAGUAAGGCCUGUUGCUUUUAAUUGCAUAAGUGAUAAAUUGUUAGUUUAAAUAAUUUAGGUCUGUAAUUGCUUAGAUCAUUUGAAUACAAGCACACUUAGUUGCAUAAUCUAAACUUAACCACGCGGUUGGCAAGGUUGGAAUUAGGUUUCUCUAAGUCUUAAUGCAGUUAAUAGUUGAAAAGUAAAAAACUCCAAGGACGUUCAUUAGCAACUUGUUAACUAGUGUUUGGUUAGCGAACGUUUCCUAGUCAAACUAAAAUUAAGGAGGAAUUUGGUUGUGCGAAGCGUCUUCCACAACCUAAACUAAUUUAUUGAAAUAAAUUGGAGUAUCAAAAAAUCAAUGAUCAAUUCUAAACAAACUGAAAUAGAUCCAUACUUCAACUAGAGUCAUUCUCCCAUUAAUUUACUCAUCUUUUUAAAUUAUUACUUUCUUUUACUCAGUUUUAAUUCUAGUCUACUAUCAUCUCAAACAAACCCCCCUCUUUUUAUUUUUGUUAUUUAUUUGUCCAAGUCAUUAUUAAGAAGAUCCGUAGUGUCAAAUCCCUGUGGGUCGACCCUAUUACCACUAUCUACAAAUUAUUUUGUUGAUUGAUAAUAGGUUUAUUUUUUACGGUUUCGACAACCGCUAUCAACAGCAAUCCUUUUAUAUGUUCUAAAGGCUUUCGAAUGGCCACCUGUUGGAGAAGCGUGGAACUCAACUAAUAAUUUUGAAAUGUAUGAAGAAUUGCCAGUAAUUACUAACCUCCCCUUGUAAAACAAUAUGUUCUGUGUUAGUGAAUAAGUUCCAUGAGAAUUCGGUUGCUUCUUCAAGUCUUGUAUGAUCUGUUGAAGGUGAUGAUCAACUUCUAUUUCUUUUUCAAUCAAACCUCAAUCAACCCAUUGAGAAUAACUCAAAACCUAUAACUUACACUCUUCAUCCUUCCUUGAUAAUGCAUCAACUGCCGAAUUUGUCUUGUCCACCUUGUACAAAAUUUUGAAAUCAUACCCAAGCAACUUAGCUCUCUAAGCUUGUUGAGCAGGGGUGUAGGUCUGUUGAUCCAACAAAUGAUGCAAACUACUAUGAUCUGUGUGUACAACAAAUUUACGACCCAGAAGAUAUGGCCGCCAAUGUCAAAUAGCUAACACCAAAGCCAUCGUUUCCUUCUCAUAUGUGGACUUGUUGAUAUUUUUAGGGGAGAAGGCUUUACUAAAGUAUGCUAUUGGCCGGUGAUCCUGCAUCAAGACUGCUCCCACACCUGUUCCAGAUGCAUCACAUUGAAUAAUAAAUAUUUUAGAAAAAUUUGGAGUUGCUAAGACCGGUGAUGAAACCAGAGCUUUCUUAAGAUUGUCAAAUGCCUGUUGAGCUGAAUAUGACCAUUAAAAAGGCAUUUGAUAUUCUGUUUUAAGUAGUUGAGUCAAUGGUUGGGCAAUAGAACCAUAUCCCUUAAUAAAAUGUCGCUAAUAACUCGUCAACCCAAGAAAUCCCCUUACUGCUUUAAGAUUCGUCGAAAUUGGCCAUUUCAGCACACUGGAGACCUUGUUAGGAUGCAUAACCACCCCCUGAUAUGAAAUCACAUGGCCAAGAUACUCAAUUACGAUCUUGCCAAUUGAACUAUUCUUUUGGUUUACCCGAAACUUCUCUUUCAAUAACAACUGCAGGGUUAUUCGAAGAUGUUCUAAAUGAUCAACCCAAGUUUUGCUGAAAAUUAAGAUAUCAUCGAAGAAUACCAAAAUGAAUUUCCAUAGAUAAGGUCAAAAGAGGUCAUUCAUCGUCGCUUGAAAUGUGGCUGGAGUGUUGGUAAGGCCAAACGGCAUGACUACAAAUUCGUAAUGACCCGAGUGAGUGCGAAAUGUCAUUUUGGGAACUUCUAAUUCUUUGACUCUGAUUUGGUGAUAACCCAAUUUUAAAUCCAAUUUGGAGAAAUAUCUGGCACCAUUAACUCAUCUAGCAGCUCAGAUAUUACCAGGAUCGGAUAUUUGUAUGGCACAAUCACCUUGUUUAAGGCCCUAUAAUCAACACAAAACCUCCAGCUCCCAUCCUUCUUCCUCACCAACAAUACUGGGCUCGAAAAGGGGCUGCAGCUCGGUCGAAUGAUUCCUGCUGCUAACAUUUCUGUUACCAGCUUCUCUAUUCCAUCUUUCUGGAAAUGGUCAUAAUGAUACAAUCGAACAUUAACUGCAGUAGUGCCACCUAUUAAAGAAAUUUCAUGAUAAGUUACCCUGCUUGGAGGAAGGCUGGUCGACUCACAAAAUAACUCCUUGAAGGGAUUUAAUAUUUGGUUCAGUUCAUGUUGCUGAGAUUGAGUAAUUUUUGCCUCUAUUGACCAAGAAGACUGAUUCCCAUCCAUCUCCCACAACAGCAUUAAGAAGUCCACAUCUUUAAGUUUCUGUAACUGAGCAACAUAAACUAACACCUUAGUAAGGGCAGGAUUCCCUGUCAGCGUGAUUAACUGUCCUUAAUAUUAAAAUUUCAUGUGUUUGGUUGCCUAAUUAAUUUGCAUACUCCCCAGAGUUUUCAACCAAGCCAUACCCGAAAUUAAAUCAACACUGCCAAGAGGAAAAACAAAGAAAUAUGCUGACAUUUCAAUUUGACCAAGAUCCAUGUGAAUAUUGCAACACAAUCUUGAGAAUUCAACUCGAUGCCCAUCACCCAAUUUCACUCUAAAUGCGAGAGUGAUUUCUACGACAAUUUGUAGUUGAGAUACCAAUUUAUCUAAAAUAAAGUUGUGGGUAGUGCCACUGUCGAUCAUGACGGUUAGUAUUUGCUGCUAUACCCAAGCCCUUAAUUUCAUCAUCUUUGGUGAAGAAAUAUGCUGACAUUUCAAUUUGACCAAGAUCCAUGUGAAUAUUGUAACACAAUCUUGAGGAUUCAACUCGAUGCCCAUCACCCAAUUUCACUCUAAAUGCGAGAAUGAUUUCUACGACAAUUUGUAGCUGAGAUACCAAUUUAUCUAAAAUAAAGUUGUGGGUAGUGCCACUGUCGAUCAUGACGGUUAGUAUUUGCUACUAUACCCAAGCCCUUAAUUUCAUCGUCUUUAGUGAAGAAAUACCCCCAAAAGAAUAAACCGACAGCUCAAUAUUAGAAAAAUGAGCUUCAUUGGUUAUGGUUACCUUAGGGACUUCGACUGCCACUUUCGCAAAUUCUACUUUUGCAUUAAUUGAAAUUUUUUCAUCGUCACAAAAAAUAAUGGCACGAAGUGACUUGCUCGGGCAUUCAUGCAUUGGGUGAAAGGGUUGCUUACACUUCUAAUAGAGACCUUUUGCCCUUAAAUCAAGAAAUUCUUGAUGGGUGUAGUGUCUUGACCCCCUAUUAUGCACUCGAGUAUUGGGAGGUCGUGUAGAGGAAGUAGCAGUGAAGGUGUUCUUAGUAGGGGUGAAAGCAGCUUUGUCGGUCGAUUUGGGAGGAGAAGGUUCAAUGUAUUUAGACUUAUAGGGCUGAGAUAUAACAUUGGGUAAUAAGGGUCAACUCUUCAAGGGUUUUGAGCUAUCAUAUUUUGGUCUAGGCCUAGGUCUCGAUGUCCAUCUCUAUGCACCAUCUACGGCCGAUUUGACCACCGUGGAGGAUGGAGAAAGAAAUUGAUUCUCGAGUUCCACUUCUUGAGCAGUCUCCAUAGUUUGGGCAAAAUCAACAGCUUCAUGGGAGCGAAUUCAUACUCAGAUAUCAUCCAUAAUCCGCUAAGAAAAUAACCUGGGGGUUAUUGAUCGGUGAUCCCUUCCACCUGAGACACCAAAGUAACAAAUUCAUCAAUAAAGUUAUCCACCAUAGAUUGCUGUAGUAAAGUGGCCAUCUCUCAAACACAUUUGUGUGCAUAUCUCCUCCAUAAUGAUGAAUAAGCUCUUGAGUAAGUUGAUUCUAAGAAAGGGUUGGAAUUCUUUGCUUAAUCUAGUGGACCCAAUGCAGAGUUGGUCCUUCCAUGCAUACUAACGCCAAUUGGACCUUUGUAUCUUCACGUGUAUUGUUGAUAACAAAGUACUACUCUGCUCCCGCCAACUAGGCAAUGAUAUCCGUGCCAUCCAAAUUUGGUAAUUUGACCUGUUUAAUAGCCAUAGAUGGGUAGUUAUAAAUUCUAGAAUUUAAAACAUGAACUUGAGCCAACACAAUUAAUUAAUUGAAAUUUAUAAUACAUAAACUAAAAAUUAUAUUUUUGUCCCUUUCUGGUAGUAUGCUUCCAAACAUGACACUUUACAUCCUUGAAUUUUGAGGCAAUUCUAUUUAUUUAACUUAGGGGCCUAUAAGCUCACACAAAAACUUCUAAAAUUAAUUAGUAGCACACCCAAUUGUUUAUUAGCAUCAAAAUAAAAAUUAGAACACUUAGGUCCAACAACUUUAAUAUGGUGUCUUUCUAGAUUCUCUAGGAGAUACUAUUAUUAUUUUGACAUUUAAGAAGGAUAAUUACCCAACUAGCUUAAAGGAUAUAUGGACUUUUUCUCUUUAUAAUGUGCUUCAUAAUAUUGUUGUAUAGGUCCUAGCUAACAGAAUAAAGAUGUUGCUUCCAUCUCUGAUAUCCCAAGCACAAUAAACAUUUGCUUAAGGAUAGAUGAUUAUUGAUAUUGUGACUAUUGUAUUUGAGACUAUUCGCCAUAUAAAAUGAAAAACUACAAGCAAAAAAUAUAAGGUUGCUUGAGAUUAAUAAGGCUUAUGACUGAGUAGACUAGGAGUAUCCGAGGCUUUGUAUAUUGAAUUUUGGUUUUAGUGAAAAUGGUUUGACAUGAUAAUAUUAUUUGCAACUUCCAUUCAGCUUUAUGCUGCUUUGAAUGGUGCAAAAUUUGGGCCUUCUUACCCUUAUAGGGGAUUAAGACGUGGGAUUCUCUAUCACCUUUAUAUGUUUAUUCUUUAUCUAGAAGAGUUAUCCACUCUUUUUCAUAGGGCUGAAUCCGUGGAGAUAGUCACAUAUCCUAAAUUUUUAGACAUGCUCCUAGCAUUUCUUACUUGCUUUUUGCUGACAAUAGUUUCUUCUUUUUUAGAGGAGAUCAUGCAAAAUGCACAAUGAUUAAAAGUAUCCUAAGUACUAUGUUCAAGGGAGAUUGUUAAUUUUCAAAAGUUUGGGAUUCUUUUUCAGUGCUAAUAUUAGUAAGGCGGAAGAAAUUGAUGUUUGUAGUAUUUUAGGCAUCUAACUGUUUGAAUCAUGGGGGUAUUAAUGGUUGCCCUCCCUUAUAGGUAGGAGUAAGAAACAAGCCUUUGCGUAUCUAAAGGAGAAGCUCUGGAAGUGUGUAUAUGGGUAGCUGAUCAAUCAUAAUUUAGCCACAUUUUUAUUAUCUUUUUUAUUGUUUAUUUACACAUUUUUUAGUUUAAUUUAUGGUUUCUAUCUUGUUUUUACAGAAAAGGAAAGAAUUGGAAAAUUGGAGAAAAAGUGCAGAAAAUUGACAGAAAAGUGAUUGGGUCAGUGAUUUGUCCAGUGAUCUGCCCAGUUCAAGCUGAAGCAGAAACCUGGAGGCAACAGGCAGAAGUGAUAUGGGCAGGGAUUUGCCCAGGACACUCGAGGAUACUGGCCAAAUCACUCGCAGAAGACAGAGAGAACUGACUGGCAGAAACGUGAUCAGGUCUGUGAUUUGCCCAAUCCCUUGAAGAAACUGGUCAAAUCGCCGGGCAAAUCACUUCGACAGCAGAAAAUACAGCAGAGCGGGAAAUUGUUCAGGAAACCGAAUUUCAAGUUUUCAGAAGUCCAAAUCCAACUCAAUCACUACCAAAAUAAUUCCAAGAGCCACGAAAGAGUUUCUCACCUAAGGAAUUCCAGUUGCAAUUAAAUUCAACAUCAAAAGAGGAGUCACAAGCCAAAUUAAAAAGGGAUUUCAAAACCCUAGAAGGAUGGAACUCUUCAACUAUAAAAGGGCAACCUCCAAACCAGCAAAGACAUCCUCUGAUCAGCAACUCAACUCGCCAGAAACUCUCCAGCAUCUUCCUUUUUCUUUUCCUUUCAUCUUUUUGUGUAUUUAGUCCACCAUGAGUGGCUAAACUCUUUUCUUUCUAGUUGAAGUUGGUGAAUUUCAGAUUUUGUUAUGAAUUGGGAGAUUUAAAUCUCCAUUGUUAAACUUCUAUUUAUUCUCAAUAUUUAUGCAAUUUGAGCUUUCCAUAAUUAUUACUUUGCUUUUAUAAUCAAUAAGGGCCCAUUGCUUUUAAAUUGCUUAAAGUAAUAUUGUUUGAAUGAUUUAGGUCCGUAAUUGCUUAGGUUGUUCAAAUACACAUUUAAUCAAAUUGCAUAAUCUAAACUUGACCACACGGUUGGCAAGGAUAGAAUUGGGUUUCUCUAAGUCUUAAUGCAGUCAACAGUUGUUCGAUGCUACAAUGCCCCAAGGACGUUCCUUGGCAACUUGUUGAUUAGUG
Molecule: long non-coding RNA, 20331 nt
Filed under: Manihot esculenta (cassava)
Lineage: Eukaryota; Viridiplantae; Streptophyta; Magnoliopsida; Malpighiales; Euphorbiaceae
Description: long non-coding RNA (MESC_LNC008747)
Source: RNAcentral